UGAAGUGAUGGGACCAGAAUGCUGAAAUUAAUACUAAGUCAUAAGAAAAGUAGAUAGUUGAAGCAAACUAUUGCCUAGAAGCUAAUACCCUUUCCUUUGAGAUGGUACCUAUGGGACCCAGGGAGGGGAGAGAAAGAAAAAAAGAACUCAGGGACCAAUCAGGUGGCUUGUUUCAAUCCUGCAUCUCAGCACAUAGCCUCUAAUUCAGCUUAAAAUGGGAAACAGAAUCUCACAAGCAUCACAGUUACGGAGACUGACCCAGAGUGGACUUCCUUCCUUUGAAUGGACUCCAUGAGGAACUGGAGCUUUGGUACCAGCAGCUGCCCCUUGCACCCAUCCGCCUCCUCGGGGAGUGCAGACGAAUUUGGGCUCAUUGCUGCUCAUAUCUGCCUGUUGGAGCACUUUUGUGGCCACUGCAGCUCACCUGAUGGAACGCUUUUGUCACCGAAGUAGGGAGGUCAUCUGAUUUGGCACCUAUAGGAAGCCACCCUGAUUGCAGGAUUUCCAGCCUUCUCCUACAUGUAAAUCAUCAAUAAACAUGACGUGACAAUUAAGACUGAGUGAGAGAUAGCAGAAACAAAUGGCAAAACCAAAUCUCCAAAGGCCUCAGAUAUUGGAAAUGUCUGCUUUAGUUCGAAGAAGAAAUGUAUUCUUCCACUCAUUUUGUAGACCUAGAAAGCAAAAUUGAUCUCUUCGGUAUAUAUUUUUUGACUUAGUUUUUAAAAAAAUACUGAUUUAUAUAUUUGCCUGCGCUGGGUCUUAGUUACAGCACACAGGAUCUUUGAUUUUUAUUGCAGCAUGUGGGUCUUUGUUAUGGCAUGUGGGACCUAGUUCCCUGACCAGGAACUGAACCUGGGCUCCCUGCAUUGUGAGCUUGGAGUCUUGGCCCUGGAGCACCAGCAAAGUCCUUCUUUGGUGUAUUUAAAGAAACUAGAAUAACUGGAAACAUGAACAAGGAAUAAAGGGCUACCCAAAA
Long non-coding RNA from Bos taurus (domestic cattle), 976 nucleotides. The record is from Ensembl. NCBI's taxonomy places the organism in Eukaryota, Metazoa, Chordata, Mammalia, Artiodactyla, Bovidae.